AGUGAGCGCUGGCGGUAGGCCUAACACAUGCAAGUCGAACGGCAGCACAGUAAGAGCUUGCUCUUACGGGUGGCGAGUGGCGGACGGGUGAGGAAUACAUCGGAAUCUACUUUUUCGUGGGGGAUAACGUAGGGAAACUUACGCUAAUACCGCAUACGACCUACGGGUGAAAGCAGGGGAUCUUCGGACCUUGCGCGAUUGAAUGAGCCGAUGUCGGAUUAGCUAGUUGGCGGGGUAAAGGCCCACCAAGGCGACGAUCCGUAGCUGGUCUGAGAGGAUGAUCAGCCACACUGGAACUGAGACACGGUCCAGACUCCUACGGGAGGCAGCAGUGGGGAAUAUUGGACAAUGGGCGCAAGCCUGAUCCAGCCAUACCGCGUGGGUGAAGAAGGCCUUCGGGUUGUAAAGCCCUUUUGUUGGGAAAGAAAAGCAGCAGGUUAAUACCCCGCUGUUCUGACGGUACCCAAAGAAUAAGCACCGGCUAGCUUCGUG
RNAcentral lists this ribosomal RNA (492 nucleotides) under uncultured bacterium. RNAcentral's name for it is "partial 16S ribosomal RNA". It matches the Rfam family "Bacterial small subunit ribosomal RNA", at positions 29 to 507 of the family's 1533-position model. The record is from RNAcentral.